GACGAACGCUGGCGGCGUGCCUAACACAUGCAAGUCGAGCGGGAAGCUUACAGCGGAGACUUCGGUCGAAGCAGUAAGUGGAGAGCGGCGGACGGGUGAGUAACGCGUGAGUAACCUGCCUCAUGGAGGGGGAUAACACAGAGAAAUCUGUGCUAAUACCGCAUAACAUCGUUGAAUCGCAUGGUUUAACGAUCAAAACUCCGGUGCCAUGAGAUGGACUCGCGUCUGAUUAGCUAGUUGGCGGGAUAACAGCCCACCAAGGCGACGAUCAGUAGCCGAACUGAGAGGUUGAUCGGCCACAUUGGGACUGAGACACGGCCCAG
This 323-nucleotide ribosomal RNA is filed under the name uncultured bacterium. RNAcentral describes it as "bacterial SSU rRNA". It matches the Rfam family "Bacterial small subunit ribosomal RNA", at positions 28 to 334 of the family's 1533-position model. The record is from RNAcentral.